UGUUACGCUAGUAUCCUUAAAAGUUCCGUUGUUCAUCAAAAGUCUUAACAAUUACACAGAUUAUGAAUUUUGUCAUUUUUGUCUUCCAAGUAACAUGCAUAAGAAAAACGUCUAACAGGAAGAAUUUUGGUAGUCUCGGCUCUAAAAGCUGUCUUUCCUGUCAGCAAUCAGAAACACUACUGCCUACACCCUAAUUUGAAGUUAUCAGAUGUCAAGAUCCUCUCAAAAAUUGCCUUGGCAUUCAAAAUGUCUUUUCCAAGUCAUAAUCUUGCAAUAAGAACAAAAAGUUGUUUGGGAUCUUCGUCACUACCAUUCACUGGAUAUGAUCUAAUAACACAGAAAAGAAUCACGUUCCUUUGAAAGUGCAGUUGAGGAUUCUUCACAUGAAUAAUCAUUUAUGAAAACGUCAUGCCAAUUUAUUUAAAAAGAAUGAUAUCACUGUAAAGUCAAUGCUCUGUAGCCAGUGAAAUCGACACAAUGACGGACAGAAUUUUCAAAUGGUCUGAUAGAGUAUCUAGGGUAUAUGAAUGUGGGAGGGAUAAGUCACAUAAAAUGAUAGAAGCAUUUCUCUUGGUAUGCUUGAAAACAUUGUUUUGAUAGUGAUACUGAGAACUGCUUUUAAGCACAGCAAUGAGGAAUAUUAAACCAA
This is a long non-coding RNA of Chiloscyllium plagiosum (whitespotted bambooshark), 649 nucleotides long. RefSeq lists it as uncharacterized. The record is from RefSeq and is a predicted model, not a curated record. NCBI's taxonomy places the organism in Eukaryota, Metazoa, Chordata, Chondrichthyes, Orectolobiformes, Hemiscylliidae.